This 68-nucleotide transfer RNA is filed under the name bovine gut metagenome. It matches the Rfam family "tRNA". From Rfam's summary of the family: Transfer RNA (tRNA) molecules are approximately 80 nucleotides in length. Their secondary structure includes four short double-helical elements and three loops (D, anti-codon, and T loops). Further hydrogen bonds mediate the characteristic L-shaped molecular structure. tRNAs have two regions of fundamental functional importance: the anti-codon, which is responsible for specific mRNA codon recognition, and the 3' end, to which the tRNAs corresponding amino acid is attached (by aminoacyl-tRNA synthetases). tRNAs cope with the degeneracy of the genetic code in two manners: having more than one tRNA (with a specific anti-codon) for a particular amino acid; and 'wobble' base-pairing, i.e. permitting non-standard base-pairing at the 3rd anti-codon position. The record is from RNAcentral.
CAGGUGUAGCUCAAUGGCAGAGCACCGGCUUCCCAAGCCGGCUACGAGGGUUCGAUUCCCUUCACCUG